GUGUCAGCAGCCGCGGUAAUACGUACUGUGCGAACGUUAUUCGGAAUCACUGGGCUUACAGGGUGCGUAGGCGGCUAACCAGGUCCGAUGUGAAAUCCCCCGGCUCAACCGGGGAACUGCAUUGGAAACCGGCUAGCUUGAGUAGGUUAGAGGUGCACGGAACUUCCGGUGGAGCGGUGAUAUGUGUUGAUAUCGGAAGGAACACCAGAGGCGAAAGCGGUGCACUGGGGCCUGACUGACGCUGAGGCACGAAAGCCAGGGGAGCGAACGGGAUUAGAUACCCCGGUAGUCCUAGCUGUAAACGAUGAGCACUGGGUCGGAGAGUCUUCCAUAACUUUCCGGCCGAAGCGAAAGUGUUAAGUGCUCCGCCUGGGGAGUAUGGUCGCAAGGCUGAAACUUAAAUGAAUUGGCGGGG
This 415-nucleotide ribosomal RNA is filed under the name uncultured prokaryote. Its description in RNAcentral is "bacterial SSU rRNA". It matches the Rfam family "Bacterial small subunit ribosomal RNA", at positions 505 to 918 of the family's 1533-position model. The record is from RNAcentral.